AGGACGAACGCUGGCGGCGUGCUUAACACAUGCAAGUCGAGCGGAAAGGCCCUUCGGGGUACUCGAGCGGCGAACGGGUGAGUAAUACGUGAGCAACCUGCCCUUAGCUCUGGGAUAGCUCCGGGAAACCGGAAUUAAUACCGGAUAUGACCUAGGCCGACAUCGGCCGUGGUGGAAAGUUUUUCGGCUAGGGAUGGACUCGCGGCCUAUCAGCUAGUUGGUGGGGUAAUGGCCUACCAAGGCGACGACGGGUAGCCGGCCUGAGAGGGCGACCGGCCACACUGGGACUGAGACACGGCCCAGACUCCUACGGGAGGCAGCAGUGGGGAAUCUUGCGCAAUGGGCGAAAGCCUGACGCAGCGACGCCGCGUGGGGGAUGAAGGCCUUCGGGUUGUAAACCCCUUUCAGCAGGGACGAAGCGAAAGUGACGGUACCUGACAGAAGAGCGCCGGCUAACUACGCGCCAGCAGCCGC
Molecule: ribosomal RNA, 474 nt
Filed under: uncultured bacterium
Lineage: Bacteria
Description: SSU rRNA
Rfam family: Bacterial small subunit ribosomal RNA
Source: RNAcentral